Long non-coding RNA from Nerophis ophidion (straightnose pipefish), 546 nucleotides. RefSeq lists it as uncharacterized. Lineage: Eukaryota; Metazoa; Chordata; Actinopteri; Syngnathiformes; Syngnathidae. The record is from RefSeq and is a predicted model, not a curated record. The transcript has 2 exons.
GUUUCCUCAGCGGCUGGAGCUGCGGCCGCCUCUGCUGACAGCGCGCCAAGAUACGCCUCCUUUGACAGCGCACUCAGACUUGUCCCCUCUCGUCCUGAGCGCAGCACGCCUGCGCAGCAACAAGCCUGUAGUCAAUCAACAAUCGACACAUCUGAACUUGAUGAAAGGGAGCGGCAUAAAGACCAGCAGACCCAAGGAACCUUUGCCAGAACGUCGCUAACCUUCCCUGACUCCCCUGCCUUCCGUGAUCAAGCCUUGUCCUUCGACAUCAAACCGGAUUCCUGACUGCUCUCCUCGAUCCACGACCUCCCUGCUUGGACCCAGACUACACUGCCUCGCUCCUCCCCACGACCCAUUGCCUGUCCACGAACUGCCUCUUCGUCUUGCCCCUCGUGAUUCGACGAAAGAUUACAACCAACACUCACAGACAACAACCCUUGGUAACAUUUACAUUAUUAUUACACAUAGUCACACUCAUUCACUUAGAGUAGCAUACACAUGUCACAUAUUUAUCAAAGGUUUAAAAUAAACCUUGAAAGAACCGCA